CCCGGGAAGGGAUUUCCGAGCCGCGGGCCAGCUGAUGCGCGCUGCGCUCCGCGGCUCUGACACUUCCCCAGCUGGACGGCUAAAAGCUAGCCGCCAUCGCCGUCGCCUCCCACCGGAAGCUCCGCUAAUUUGACUUAUUUUGAUCAGUUUUUAAUCUGUUUUUAACCGUUAUUUAUGAACAGUUUUAAUUCGUGAGUAUUUGCGGAAUUUUAUGCAGCACAGCCAGCUUUGUGACUUUGGGACAUAAGCAGGAGAUGGUGAGUAUUUGUGGAAUUUUAUAGAGCACAGUCAGAGAGAUUUCUUUUGACAAAUCAUCAGGAAACGGUGAGUUCUCUUCAAACGUUCGGCACGACAGCCAGUAGCAGGACUUUGGGCAAGUAAGUAGGAGACAGUAACUUCUCUUGCAGUUGGAAAGGUCAGAUCUGGUCUUAUAAUUUGCAGAACAGCCAGCUGAGAAACUUUGGUCCCCAAACCAGGAGAUAGUGACUUCUAGUGCUGCAAUGUGCAUGGUAAGUUUAUUCCUGCAAUAUGAUUGACAGCCGGCUGAGUGACUUUGGACCAAUAAGCAGAAGAUGGUAACUACUACUUCAUUUUGGAAGAUAAGUUCUAGUCUUGUAAUAUGAAGAAUGGCCAGCUGAGUGACUCUGAGCCACUAAGCAGGAGAUUGUGAGUUUUCUUAGGCACAAAAGCCAGCAACAUGAGAAGACGGUGAGUUCUAGUCUUGCUAUACAUACAAGAGGUGGAUUGAUGACUUUGGGCCCAUAACUAGAAGACGGUGACUUGUAGUCCUGCAAUAGGCCGGGUAAGUUCUUCAAUUUGCAUGACAGCUGGCUGUGUGACUUUGGAUCAAUAACCAGGAGACCAUGACUUCCAUUCCAGCAAUAGGUUUCAUGAGUUCUACUCCGGCUGAGUGACUUUGGGCGAAUCCCAAGGAGAAGGUGAGUUCUACUCCUGCAAUUUGCAUGAUAGCCAGCUUUGCGCCAAUAACCCAAAGAUGGUAAUUUCUAUUCCUGCAAUAGGCGUGGUGAAUUCUACUCCUGCAGUCUAUAUGAGAGGUGGCUGAGUGACUUUGGACCAAUCAUCAGUUGAUGCCCAUGAAGGAGGCCAAAGGAAACCACUUCUGGAAAAUGUUCCUAGAAAAGCACACGGAGUUCUUCCGACAGUCUCCGAGAACUGGAAUGUGACUCAACGGGAGAGAAAAAUAGCAACAGAUGACGGGGAUGGGAGGGAUCCUCCUCAGCACAUCCCAUCCCGGCGAAGACCUCAGUGAUGCUGGGCAGAGGCCCCCUUGUCCCCCAGCCAGACCAAUGUCCCCUGUUGCCUGAUCCGAAGUCAACGACUGAAGUUAGAGCCCGGCCAUUUCACCUGGCAGUUGCUGAAUGAGCCACAAACACUCGGUGCUGCUCCGUAUCAUCCGAGAAGUGUAGAGUCCCCACAACCCAUGAAUCUGAACCGAACUCAUCUGGAUGUGUGGUCUGGGAAUUCUGGGAGUUGAAGUCCAAACAUCUCAAAAAUCGCCAAGUUGGAGAAGCACCGAUUUAGAGGCUCCCCGAUUCCAGAUGGCUGUGGGCAGCUGACUUUCCCCGACAGAAUCAUCAAAAGAACCAAGAAACAGACCGUGAGCAUCCAGGAGACCCACUAAACAUACGGCAACCUCCGAGGGUUUCUCUGCCAGCCUGCCCGACGUCUAACACCGAACCCAGUUUCGCAGUGACCUGACUGGCACACAGAACUCUACCUGGACUCGUCUCGAUUUGAUUCAUAAUUUAUUCCUAAUAAAUGUCACAAGACAAAUCAUGA
Crotalus tigris (Tiger rattlesnake) is the source of this 1800-nucleotide long non-coding RNA. RefSeq lists it as uncharacterized. The record is from RefSeq and is a predicted model, not a curated record. The transcript has 2 exons. Lineage: Eukaryota; Metazoa; Chordata; Lepidosauria; Squamata; Viperidae.